Mustela lutreola (European mink) is the source of this 3321-nucleotide long non-coding RNA. RefSeq lists it as uncharacterized. The record is from RefSeq and is a predicted model, not a curated record. The transcript is spliced from 2 exons. NCBI's taxonomy places the organism in Eukaryota, Metazoa, Chordata, Mammalia, Carnivora, Mustelidae.
UGUCUGUGAUCAAGUUUUAGAGUGAAAAAGCACUCGUCAGCCUGCACACAGUCUGUAGACACACAGCUUACGUGUGUUUCAUGGUCGUGUUUUGUAUGUUGUCUAGUGUCUCCUUGGUGUCAUGCCGUGGAUUAUUGGUCUGUGCGCACGGGUGUGUGUGCUUCCAUUAUAGGCCUUUAAUGAGGGUGAUUGAUGAACAUAAAGGAGCAGAAAGAGUUAAAGAUGUGAAAAAUAGGAAUGGAAAUGUAAAAAAACAUGGAAGCUGUGAGUACCAGCACAUACGUGAUGAGUGACUUAGAUGAGAAAAUAGAAGAAAGGCGUCCUGAUACUUUUCCAGAAUUAAAGAGUGACGUAAGUUCUCAGAUUGCAGAAAUACAAAAUCAAAGCCGGGUCCAGCCUGAAUCCGUACCCUGGCCUGCACACAGCUCAGUCCCCAAUUCCAGAACAGGAGUGUGUAAAAGAGUAAAACAAAGGCAAUGUCAGACAGAGACUGGGGAGACCGAGACAGAGACUGGGGAGACUGACUGCUGGAGCCUAAAACGAUUUCACAAGUUGCAUUCCAAGGAGAAGGUGCUGAGCUUAACGAGCUGUCGAGAGAACAGAGAGCAGAUAAUGACUUUGUGAGCAAGUCCAAAGCAGGCAGUGAGGAAGAUGGCCCCGUGGUGGUGUUCCAUCCUGAGUGUGGCCACAGGGUGGGGCUAAAGCCCUGGGCAAGGCACCGGCCAUCUGGGGAGGCGGCGGGCUGACCCUCGCUUCUGCCGUCUGUGCGUUUCUCAGCAAGAGGGUGUGAAUGAUGAUUGCGCAUGUCUUUCGGUGAUCGUUUGGGUCUGCAUUUAUGGGUGAUCACUAAGAGAAUAGAAGUGGGUUAUUUAACUUCCAACCCAGUAGAGAAAAACGGAGUCUGGGCUGUAAGAAGCAAGAAAAUGUAAAAUAAGAAAGGAUGGUGAAUAGUAUGAGAAAAGACGGCAGAAUCAGUCCGAGGAGUCUGCUCGUUAUAGUAAAGACGAAUUGAGUCCAGUUGGCCCUAAAAGAAAAAACCCAGAUCUUGGGUUGGAUAAAUUCACAGUUCUAGGCACAGAUUUUAAUGACAGCUGAAUGCGGACACAAAACAUUUGUAAGUAAAUGGAUGGAAAAAGAAAUACAAGUUCAGUUCCAACUACAUAUCGUAGCCAGUAUGACUCUCAUCUACUGGACGUUCAUCUGUGAAAUGUUAGGCGUAGAGCCCUUCCCAAGAGAGAACCGUAACCGUUCUAAACUUGUGUGCCCCUAACAAGACUGUCUCCAGUCGUAUAAAGCGAAACAUGCCCGAGAUGGAAUCGGCCAUAGUUGAGUACGUGAUUGGAGCGGGAGAGUUUAAGAAAGCUCCUCCCCGUCCGUGGAUACUGGAUGUAGAGUAAGUGAACCGCAGAAGAGCGUGGUAUACUGUCGACGGAAAGAUCCCGUGUAGAACCCUGGAGCUGAUUGUUUCAGAACGCGCUUUUUUCCCAAACGCAUGGAAUAUUUGUAAAAAUUAUAUAGCAUUCCUCAGAGCAAUUGUGAGCGAAUGCCAGAGAAUUACUGUUCAUGCCUCAUUCUCUGAUUUAAAAAAAAAUCAAUAAAAAUAUAUUUGAAUAUUAAAAAAUAACACUGAUAUCUAGCUCAUAGACAAGGCUGAACACAGGAUGGAAAUUAAGAAUAUUUGACUUGAAUAAUAGUGAAAACAUUACAUACAUUUUUAUGGGAUACUUUAAAAUAAUGAAUUAUAGACAUUUGUUAAUAACAGAAGAGAGGAAAAUAAUGAGCCACUUCCAACUCCGUUUUAUAUAAAAGAAUAGCAGAGGGAAUUCAGAGAAAAUAGAAGAAAAUAAAAAUGGUAGCGGCACCUGGGUGGCUCGGUGGGUUAAGCCUCUGCCUCCAGCUCAGGUCAUGAUCUCAGGGUCCUGGGAUCGAGCCCCGCGUCGGGCUCUCUGCUCGGCGGGGAGCCUGCUUCCCCCCUACCCCCCUGCCUGCCUCUCUGCCUGCUUGUGAUCGCUCUCUCUCGCAAAUAAAUAAAUAAAAUCUUUUUAAAUAAAAAUGCUAGCAGCAGACGUGAUAAACAGAAAACAGAGAAUGGAAAGUUAUCAGCAUAAUGAAAGAAGAGUUCUAUGAAAGUCGACAAGCCUCCGGCAGUGUCGGGAAGCACGGGCGUUCCCGGUCAGAGAGCGGCAGAGAGGGAAGGAAAGUGGAUCAGCAGAAGCUCAUGAGCAUCAUGAAGGGGUUCCGGAAACGACGUGGUAUCAUUCAGUUGAAACACUUGGCCUGCAUCUGACGUAGAAAACAUUGAUGCAUAAUGAUUCCCGAUCUAGAAUUAAUUGCUUAACUGAUGGGCUAGACAGCCCGCCGAGACCCGUGUUCCUCGUCCCAGAGGGGCUAAACCAUCGGGUGACAGGCGGUUCCUCUGCUCUACACGCAGGUCCAGUGGACCGUAGAGGACAGGAGCAGGUCACUCCUGAGGGUCUCAGUAGAAGCUUAGAAUCCCCUUCACGCAAAGGGGCGAUGCUGAACAUCCUAAUGAAAAUGUAAAGAAAUAAAAUCCAGCAGUAUCCCAACAGACAAGCAAAAGCCCACCUGAGCCCUUUAGGUUUGUCUCGGGGGUUUAUGGAUCCCUUAACAUUAGCAGGUUCUUUGACCAUCUUUUCCACAGGACCAGACGAACGGACAUAAACCUUACCCUCAUCUCAAGACAUGCUUAAAAUGCACUUGAUAGGAUUCAGUCAGUGUUAAAAGCUCCUAAUAGGAGGCAACGUCCUCAGGCUAAGAAAGGACAUGUUCUUGUAAUCACGUGUCCUUGUAAUCUACAUCCAGCUAAACGAUUCCUGCGUCCAGGGAGAGACACACUGAACAUUUGGGCCCCUUCGGAAAUUGAACUGAAGUGUUUUCUGAAAGAGUGUGCAGGCAGGUAUUUUAUUUAAACGCAUGCUGCAAAUGAAGUGGGAAUUAAAGACUGGUUUCUGCAAAAACAAGCUUGAAAUUUAUUUUUGGGUAAUUUGUGCAUCCAGGUAGGCCCUUCCCAACCCAGACGGAGUGACCUGGGGCCUCCCAAAACCAAAACGCCAGCCAGAGGUCUACCAGUAGUCAGGGAGCCAGCCAUUUCGGGUAGAGCCAGCCGUGUCCCUGUGAGGACAGUGCCGUGCAGGGCGCCGACGUGUAUGGUGUGUGUGCUUUAAGUCCCACGUCAGCCAGCACCCUCCCUUGUUAGGAUCACAGAAGGUCCUGGUCCCCUCAGUGGCCCUUUGCUCUUUGCUUAUUAAAUGUUUGGUGCCACAAAUAUUUUGAAAAAAAACAAAAAACAAAAAACAAAAA